RNAcentral lists this ribosomal RNA (613 nucleotides) under Clostridioides difficile. RNAcentral describes it as "partial 23S ribosomal RNA". It matches the Rfam family "Bacterial large subunit ribosomal RNA", at positions 683 to 1303 of the family's 2925-position model. The record is from RNAcentral. Lineage: Bacteria; Bacillati; Bacillota; Clostridia; Peptostreptococcales; Peptostreptococcaceae.
UUUAACUGAGCGUUCAGUUACUUGACGUAGACCCGAAACCGGGCGACCUACCCAUGAGCAGGAUGAAGCGAAAGUAAAAUUUCGUGGAGGUCCGAACCCACGAGCGUUGAAAAGCUCGGGGAUGACUUGUGGGUAGCGGUGAAAUUCCAAUCGAGCCCGGAGAUAGCUGGUUCUCCCCGAAAUAGCUUUAGGGCUAGCCUCAAGGUGAGAGAUACGGAGGUAGAGCACUGAAUGUCCUAGGGGGUAUUGCACCUACCGAAGACUAUCAAACUCCGAAUGCCGUCAUCUUAUACUUGGGAGUCAGACUGUGGGUGAUAAGAUUCAUAGUCGAAAGGGCAACAGCCCAGAUCGUCAGCUAAGGUCCCUAAAUGUAAGUUAAGUGGUAAAGGAUGUGGGAUUGCACAGACAACCAGGAUGUUGGCUUAGAAGCAGCCACUCAUUCAAAGAGUGCGUAAUAGCUCACUGGUCGAGUGAUCCUGCGCCGAAGAUUUCCGGGGCUAAAACUUACUACCGAAGCUACGGCAUCAGUAAUGAUGGGUAGGGGAGCUUCCCAUACGGGUUGAAGCAUGACCGUAAGGACAUGUGGACAGUAUGGGAGUGAGAAUGUUGGCAU